UGGCGCGAAACCGGAUCUGACGUUACCAUAGGGAGGUACUCCCUGCCCCUAGACAGGUACUGUUGUAGCUAGGGAAAGAUCCGACGAUUCCUCGGCCUUGUCCCCAGCCUUUACUUGCCUAUGUUCUACUCGGUACCCUCACCGCAGUCGCCGGCCUUGUUUGAGUUACGCCUUCUCUGCGCGGUGUGGUGAUAGGCGACAGCCAGGUUAAAUUCAUGUGCAGGAGUCGCCUUCACUUGAAAACAUCCGUCGAGACCUGCACAUUUAGUUUUGGUGGUUUUGACGCUGUGCGAAUGGCUGAGGCCGUCUCUGCGAUGCACUUUCAGCGCGUAGACUGUCGUUUUGUACGUUGGUGGUAACGACGUUUGCAGUGCCAACGCGGACCCUCAAGAUAUAUGCGACAAUAUAGGGAAGUUCUGCAACUGCAGCACGAUGUGGCCCCCGUGGUGUAUACGUCUUCAAAGUGCUGCCACGUUGCUCCAGCUCUGAAGACGCCGAUGCGGAGCGCCAGAUCAAGAAAACGCGCUUGCUGAACCGCAAGCUGACGGCUACGCUGAAACGCCUGCCGUGUGUUCGAAUCUUGAACGCCGAGCAUGUUGGUCUUCAUUCGAGAGCUGUCUCACCUUUGGAUGUACAGAGGCAUCCACUUCCACCUUGAGCACCGCACCGUGCAGCCAACGCUCCGCGGAGCGUCUCUCGCGGGCGGCUGGGGCACGCAAGCGCAGUGACAACUGUAGGUGGUGCCUUCGCCGCGUCGUCUGCUAAAGCGCAGCGGCUCCGCCCAAUCGCGCUUGCUCUUCGAUGAAGGUAACUUAAUCUCAUGGAAAUCGAGAAGCGCAGCGACUGCGCCUCGUUCCGCACUGCUUUUUUACCUACUGUUUUCUUUUUCUGCAUGCGAUCUUAAAAGUAAUAAACCUUGGCCCGUGCAUAAGAUCGCCAAGCCGGGCUGGCACUCCCGCAACUAAGCUACUCAGAUGCUUUGUGCCGUACAGUUAGAAUAUUCCCGCUACUCACACGGUUGUUUUCAUCAGCUGAAAGUUUGGCGACACAAAGUCAACAAUAAAAAAAUAUUGCGCUGUGAAUUGAAGGCUCACGGAAAACUUUCUGCUUCGUGCUAAAGUUUUGAGCCAAGAAAUAUAUAAAGCGAUACGCGGUGCUUUGGGUCACCUAGCGAUAAAAAGGGAGUCAAGCUUUAUUCAGCGCCUGCUUACAGAAGUAAUCAUUUGUCAGCGGCGCUUCUUUGGUGAACUGAUUGCGUGAUAUGAGUUCAGCUGAAAACUCUAUUAGAAUGCUUCUUCAUUUUUCUGCAUGAAUGGUACGAAUAAGCAUGGUUGCAAAUGAGUAGCAAAUUAGGGCGGCGUAUUGGCGAGUUAAAUUCGCUAGCGCAUGAAGGCAGCAGUGCUGAUAACACCUGAAUGUAAUGUAACUUCUCUGAAAUUGGCAAAUUGCUCACAUCCUUUUGUUUUCAGGCGAGUAACAAUCCAAACUUUCGCACAUUUAAAGCUGUUAUGUCAG
Long non-coding RNA from Rhipicephalus sanguineus (brown dog tick), 1515 nucleotides. RefSeq lists it as uncharacterized. The transcript has 3 exons. The record is from RefSeq and is a predicted model, not a curated record. Lineage: Eukaryota; Metazoa; Arthropoda; Arachnida; Ixodida; Ixodidae.